UACGUAGGGGGCGAGCGUUGUCCGGAUUUAUUGGGCGUAAAGAGCGUGUAGGCGGCCGGGUAAGUCCGGUGUGAAAACUCGAGGCUUAACCUCGAGAUGUCAUCGGAAACUAUUCGGCUAGAGUCCGGAAGAGGAGAGUGGAAUUCCUGGUGUAGCGGUGAAAUGCGCAGAUAUCAGGAAGAACACCUAUGGCGAAAGCAGCUCUCUGGGACGGUACUGACGCUGAGACGCGAAAGCGUGGGGAGCGAACAGG
Molecule: ribosomal RNA, 253 nt
Filed under: uncultured bacterium
Lineage: Bacteria
Description: partial 16S ribosomal RNA
Rfam family: Bacterial small subunit ribosomal RNA
Source: RNAcentral